Molecule: long non-coding RNA, 296 nt
Organism: Tachysurus fulvidraco (yellow catfish)
Lineage: Eukaryota; Metazoa; Chordata; Actinopteri; Siluriformes; Bagridae
Exons: 2
Source: RefSeq, a predicted model, not a curated record
ACCAAUCAAUGCAGCGUUUCUGAGUGACGUCAGAAUUCCUUUUCCCGUUCUCACUGUUCUGCAAUGGCGGCGCGGUUGUUGCUCAGGAGUGCGGCUGUUAAAGCCGCUGUUACUGAUGUGCACGGUAGUAAUGCAGGAGUUUCGUUCCUCAGACUUUCCCCGAGCUGCUCGUUGAGGCUGAAGACACAAAAAAGACAUGCGGCACACUUCACCUUUUACCCUGACCCCGUCCCAACGCAAUACGGCCCCACCACAAAGAUGAACCUGUUCCAGUCCAUAACAAGUGCUUUGGAUAA